ACAAAAUAGUGAUAUGGAGCAAAACCCUAAAAACGGUCUCAGUUCGGAUUGAAGGCUGAAAUUCGCCUUCAUGAAGCUGGAAUUGCUAGUAAUGGCAGGUCAGCAUACUGCCGUGAAUACGUUCCCGGGCCUUGUACACACCGCCCGUCACACCAUGAGAGUUGGGAAUACCCGAAGCCUGUGAGCUAACUGUAAGGAGGCAGCAGUCGAAGGUAGAAUCAAUGAUUGGGGUGAAGUCGUAACAAGGUACC
Molecule: ribosomal RNA, 251 nt
Filed under: uncultured bacterium
Lineage: Bacteria
Description: partial 16S ribosomal RNA
Rfam family: Bacterial small subunit ribosomal RNA
Source: RNAcentral